RNAcentral lists this ribosomal RNA (79 nucleotides) under Paenibacillus campinasensis. RNAcentral's name for it is "partial 23S ribosomal RNA". It matches the Rfam family "Bacterial large subunit ribosomal RNA", at positions 2849 to 2925 of the family's 2925-position model. Lineage: Bacteria; Bacillati; Bacillota; Bacilli; Caryophanales; Paenibacillaceae. The record is from RNAcentral.
GAGGUAGAUAGGUUGGAGGUGGAAGUGCAGCAAUGCAUGGAGCUGACCAAUACUAAUCGGUCGAGGGCUUAUCCUACAA